Molecule: long non-coding RNA, 161 nt
Organism: Maniola jurtina (meadow brown)
Lineage: Eukaryota; Metazoa; Arthropoda; Insecta; Lepidoptera; Nymphalidae
Exons: 3
Source: RefSeq, a predicted model, not a curated record
CAAUAACAUUAUUACAGCCUCGACAGCUCAGCGGUUAAAGAAGCGGACUAAAAUCUAAGAGGUCGCCGGUUCAAACCCUACCCGUAGCACUCUGCUGUACCGACUCCUAGCACAAGCUUUACGUUUCAUUAGAGGGGAAAGAGGAAUAUUAGUCAUUAUGA